AAGUCGUAACAAGGUCUCCGUUGGUGAACCAGCGGAGGGAUCAUUAUCGAGUUGCAAAAACUCCAACCCGUGUGAACAUACCUCAGUCGUUGCUUCGGCGGUCGAGGGCCGGAAGGCCCGAAGCCGCCGGAGGUUCCAAACUCGUUGUUUUUAGUGUAUCUCUGAGCCACAAAACAAUAAUCAAAACUUUCAACAACGGAUCUCUUGGUUCUG
This 213-nucleotide unclassified non-coding RNA is filed under the name Budhanggurabania cynodonticola. RNAcentral's name for it is "partial internal transcribed spacer region". The stretch from base 1 to 46 matches the Rfam family "Eukaryotic small subunit ribosomal RNA", at positions 1786 to 1831 of the family's 1831-position model. Lineage: Eukaryota; Fungi; Ascomycota; Sordariomycetes; Magnaporthales; Magnaporthaceae. The record is from RNAcentral.